This 482-nucleotide ribosomal RNA is filed under the name uncultured bacterium. Its description in RNAcentral is "partial 16S ribosomal RNA". It matches the Rfam family "Bacterial small subunit ribosomal RNA", at positions 28 to 523 of the family's 1533-position model. The record is from RNAcentral.
GACGAACGCUGGCGGCGUGCUUAACACAUGCAAGUCGAACGAUGAAGCCCAGCUUGCUGGGUGGAUUAGUGGCGAACGGGCGAGUAACACGUGGGCAACCUGCCCCAAACUCUGGGAUAACUCCUCGAAAGAGGUGCUAAUACCGGAUACGAACUAGACAGACAUCUGUACUAGUUGGAAAGUUUUUCGGUUUGGGAUGGGCCCGCGGCCUAUCAGCUUGUUGGUGAGGUAACGGCUCACCAAGGCUACGACGGGUAACCGGCCUGAGAGGGCGACCGGUCACACUGGGACUGAGACACGGCCCAGACUCCUACGGGAGGCAGCAGUGGGGAAUAUUGCGCAAUGGGCGAAAGCCUGACGCAGCGACGCCGCGUGAGGGAUGAAGGUCUUCGGAUCGUAAACCUCUUCCAGUAGGGACGAAGCGAAAGUGACGGUACCUAAAGAAGAAGCACCGGCUAACUACGUGCCAGCAGCCGCCGCUG